This 76-nucleotide transfer RNA is filed under the name Gallionella sp. RNAcentral describes it as "tRNA-Asn". It matches the Rfam family "tRNA". From Rfam's summary of the family: Transfer RNA (tRNA) molecules are approximately 80 nucleotides in length. The record is from RNAcentral. Lineage: Bacteria; Pseudomonadati; Pseudomonadota; Betaproteobacteria; Nitrosomonadales; Gallionellaceae. RNAcentral also lists the same sequence under 2 other names.
UCCCUGAUAGCUCAGCCGGUAGAGCGACGGACUGUUAAUCCGCAGGUCCCAGGUUCGAAUCCUGGUCGGGGAGCCA